Molecule: ribosomal RNA, 401 nt
Filed under: Eurygaster maura
Lineage: Eukaryota; Metazoa; Arthropoda; Insecta; Hemiptera; Scutelleridae
Description: partial 16S ribosomal RNA
Source: RNAcentral
GAAAGUUUAUUUAUUUCAAGUCGGGCCUGCUCAAUGAUUUAUAAUAAUUAAAUAGCCGCAGUAUUUUGACUGUGCGAAGGUAGCAUAAUCAUUUGUCUUUUAAUUGAAGGCUUGUAUGAAGGGUUUGACAAAAUGUGGGCUUUCUUUACAUUAAAUCGUUGAAUUUAAUUUUUGAGUUAAAAAGCUUAAAUGUUUUAAUAGGACGAGAAGACCCUAUAGAAUUUUAUUAUUUGUGGUUUAUAUUAUAAUUGGUUUAUUUAUUUAUUAUAUGUUAUAAAUAAUUUUGUUGGGGUGAUGGGGAAAUUUUCUUAACUUUCUUUAUUUAUUUAAUAUAAAUUAAUAUAUUAAUGAUCCUUUUUAUGGAUAAUAAGUUUAAAUUACCUUAGGGAUAACAGCGUAAU